Molecule: transfer RNA, 76 nt
Filed under: Desulfurispira natronophila
Lineage: Bacteria; Pseudomonadati; Chrysiogenota; Chrysiogenia; Chrysiogenales; Chrysiogenaceae
Description: tRNA-Thr
Rfam family: tRNA
About the family: Transfer RNA (tRNA) molecules are approximately 80 nucleotides in length. Their secondary structure includes four short double-helical elements and three loops (D, anti-codon, and T loops). Further hydrogen bonds mediate the characteristic L-shaped molecular structure. tRNAs have two regions of fundamental functional importance: the anti-codon, which is responsible for specific mRNA codon recognition, and the 3' end, to which the tRNAs corresponding amino acid is attached (by aminoacyl-tRNA synthetases). tRNAs cope with the degeneracy of the genetic code in two manners: having more than one tRNA (with a specific anti-codon) for a particular amino acid; and 'wobble' base-pairing, i.e. permitting non-standard base-pairing at the 3rd anti-codon position.
Source: RNAcentral
GCUGGUGUAGCUCAACUGGUAGAGCAGCUGACUUGUAAUCAGCCGGUUGGGGGUUCAAGUCCUCUCACCAGCUCCA